CCCAUAACAAGUGUGUUAGGAAGUGUGGACAAAGAAAACAAAGUGAUAGACCAUUCUAAAGAGCCUCUAGCACUCAACCGUGACCAAAGAGCUAAACCCACAAGAACCAUAAGUUUCUGAAGAGUGUCAGCAGCAAUGAACCUUGUGUUCAUAGUGUAAGGAUUGUUAGUAUAAAUGAAAUGAAAAGAAAGCAAAGUGGACAGCAAAAAGAGCCACAAAUCUGUUGAUAC
This 230-nucleotide long non-coding RNA is filed under the name Helianthus annuus (common sunflower). RNAcentral's name for it is "sRNA HanXRQr2_Chr10g0462491". The record is from RNAcentral. Lineage: Eukaryota; Viridiplantae; Streptophyta; Magnoliopsida; Asterales; Asteraceae.